Molecule: long non-coding RNA, 234 nt
Filed under: Vigna radiata
Lineage: Eukaryota; Viridiplantae; Streptophyta; Magnoliopsida; Fabales; Fabaceae
Description: long non-coding RNA (VRAD_LNC005423)
Source: RNAcentral
UAGCAAAAGGAGAUUGUGCUACUAGGCUAUCCAAAGACGGGAACAAAACUGCACUAAAACACAAUCACUGUAUUAGACGUCGGUUAAUGUAUACACCGAUGUCUAUAGUACCUUUUAGACGUCAGUCAGUGCCAUUUUCGAAGUCUUUAGUGCCUCUUCGACGUUGGUUAUUGCUCAAACUGACGUCAUUAUAGACGUUGGUUAUAUUCAUGUCCAAUGUCCCAUUGAUGUCAC